Nicotiana tabacum (common tobacco) is the source of this 485-nucleotide non-coding RNA. NCBI's taxonomy places the organism in Eukaryota, Viridiplantae, Streptophyta, Magnoliopsida, Solanales, Solanaceae. The record is from RefSeq and is a predicted model, not a curated record.
CCGUUUUCUCAAGCGUUGCUCAUAAAUCGGUCAAAUUUUCCAAUUUAAUCACGCUUCAAUUUCUUGAUAGAGAAUUGAUUUUUCUUACCAGCCUUUUGGACCUUUGAUAUGACUUCGUUUGUGGUUACAGGUGCUGCGUUCUUCUGACCUUGUGUUAGAGUUUCAAUCAAAUGUCUUUCCUUCAAAUGGAUUCUUUUAUUAUUCACACGCAUUCUCUGGCAUCACUUUCGCUCUCUUGGUUCUUCUUCUUUUGCUUUCUUCCCCCAAUUUGUGUUGUAAUUGAGACUAUCUUUGGAUCUUAACCAGUACUUGGUAGAAAAGAGAAUUAUCGGAUUGGUAAAAAAGCAAUCUAAUUUUAUUUACUACUCAAUUCAUCUCUGGACUGAGAAGACAUAUGAAAAAGAAAUCAGUACAUAUUAAGAUGAUGUAUACAAAAAAAAAGGGUGAUUUUUAGGACGUUGAUGAGGAUAGAAAAACGGGAGAAA